CCUACGGGUGGCAGCAGUGGGGAAUAUUGCGCAAUGGGCGAAAGCCUGACGCAGCGACGCCGCGUGAGGGAUGAAGGUCUUCGGAUCGUAAACCUCUGUCAGCAGGGAAGAACGGUCACUGUGCUAAUCAGCAGUGAAUUGACGGUACCUGCAAAGGAAGCACCGGCUAACUCCGUGCCAGCAGCCGCGGUAAUACGGAGGGUGCGAGCGUUAAUCUGAAUUACUGGGCGUAAAGCGCUCGUAGGCGGUAUGUCAAGUCAAUGGGGAAGUCCCCAGGCUCAACGUGGGAACUGCCUGUGAAACUGGCAAACUGGAGUGUGUGAGAGGAUAGUGGAAUUGCAGGUGUAGGGGUGAAAUCCGUAGAUAUCUGAAGGAACAUCAGUGGCGAAGGCGACUAUCUGGCACAUAACUGACGCUGAGGAGCGAAAGCGUGGGUAGCAAACAGGAUUAGAUACCCUUGUAGUC
RNAcentral lists this ribosomal RNA (465 nucleotides) under uncultured bacterium. Its description in RNAcentral is "partial 16S ribosomal RNA". It matches the Rfam family "Bacterial small subunit ribosomal RNA", at positions 338 to 795 of the family's 1533-position model. The record is from RNAcentral.